Long non-coding RNA from Orbicella faveolata, 102 nucleotides. The record is from RefSeq and is a predicted model, not a curated record. Lineage: Eukaryota; Metazoa; Cnidaria; Anthozoa; Scleractinia; Merulinidae.
CGUACGUAUCGGAUGAACAAUUUUUUUGCAUUUCUGCGUGGAGCGGCCUUGCACAACGACGAGAUUUCAAGGAGCAGAAACUGGCGACAUGUCCACAGAAGA